This 4598-nucleotide long non-coding RNA is filed under the name Arabidopsis lyrata. RNAcentral describes it as "long non-coding RNA (ALYR_LNC001596)". The record is from RNAcentral. Lineage: Eukaryota; Viridiplantae; Streptophyta; Magnoliopsida; Brassicales; Brassicaceae.
CAGGUAAUACUUUUUUUUCUUAUACAUCUAUAAUAGAAAUAAUUUCAUUCUAAUGAUAUAACGAUUUUGGACAGGCACAUAUAAUGAGUGAAUAUCCAGCAGCAUUUAGAGUCUCCUUUCUUUACACUGUAUGUGUUUCAAUCGUGACCUCAACGAUUGGACUAGUAGCCGAAAAGAACAAUCCAAGCGUUUGGAUCAUUCAUUUUGAUAUUACUUUGAUUACGAUUGUUACUAUGGUAUGUUAUGUAAAAUUUUUUUAAAUAUUAUCAAAAUCUUUUCUUUUUGAUUUUAACAUAGUUUUGUUUUUUAUAUAAAAUAUUUCAGGCAAUAAUAACUUCAGUAUACUAUGUGAUUCAUUCAUGGACAGUACGUCACAAAGGACCUCUAUACUUAGCGAUAUUUAAGCCUUUGUCGAUUUUAAUAGCAGUGGUUAUGGGGGGCAUUUUUCUCAACGAUUCUCUCUAUCUCGGAUGGUAUAUGAAUCAAUAGUCUUCAUACACAUAUCUAUAAACAAAACAUUUGCUCAUCAUCUUCGAUUUUGUCCUUUGUUUUGCAGUUUGAUCGGAGGAAUUUUGAUAUCAUUAGGCUUCUACGCUGUGAUGUGGGGCAAAGCAAACGAAGAGAAGGACCAGUUGUUAUCAUUUUCUGGAAAAGAGAAAACCCCUCUUCUAUUGAGUGGCGAGAACGACCAAAUUUAAAUAAGAAAAUAAAUUAAAAUCAUGGAUAAUCUCUUAUAUAACGUGCAAAUUGCUUUGUAUAGAACUUAAAGAUGACUAUCUAAUUGUUUUUAAGUUACGUAUAUUGAACGACUAUCUAAAUUCAUUAGAUCAUGUAUAUACGCAAUAGCUUAUAAUUUAUUGGACCCAAUAUUAUAAAGUCAACAAACGAUAAUUAUUGGACCCACAGAAUGCCAUUCCUUUAUAUUGUAACAUCAAGAAAAGCAACAAAAUAAUAAUGAAUUAGAGACUCACAAUUCACACUACUCUUUCUAUCAUUUCCAAUAAUGGCCGGGACAUUAAGUCUCUGGCGGAGAGAGGCCUUGUUCUUGACGGCGAUGCUGGCGACUGAAACCGGCGUCGUUGGAAUGAGUACUUUGUUUAAAGUAGCAACUUCAAAGGGGCUCAAUCUUUAUGCUUUCCUCGGCUAUUCUUAUCUUCUUGCUUCUCUCGUUCUUCUUCCUUCUUUUUUCUUCUCCAACAGGUUUCUAAUAACUUUAUUCUUUAAGACCAUUUAUAACCAUUAUUUUGUAUUGAUUUCAAUUCAUUUGUAUAUUUUUUUGUUUUCCUUUACAGGUCAAGAUCACUUCCUCCCCUAAGUUUCGCAAUACUUUGUAAAAUAGGACUUCUUGGAUUAUUAGGGUAAAGUCUAAUUAACACAAUCUUUUUUUCCAAUUUUAAAUAUGAAAUUAUGUCCCUAUUUGUUAAUAUGUUAUUUUAUGGGGCCAUUCUAAUAAAUGGUUUUUGGCUGAAAAAAAAAAAACACAACAGAUCAAUGUAUGUGAUCACAGGAUACAUAGGCAUCAAAUACAGCAACCCAACCUUAGCCUCUGCCAUUAGCAAUAUCACUCCUGCUCUUACCUUUAUCCUCGCCAUUAUCUUCAGGUUUGAUUUUUUUCUUUUCCCAAUAUUUGCAGAUUUCAGAUUAUUCUAAAAACAGACUAUUCUAGUUCACAGCCGAAAUUGUAACAAUUUCUUCCCAGGCAUAAUCAGCUAAAUAAGGCAACUUAAAAUUGAAUAUUGUUUUUAGUUCACCAACUUAAGUUUUUUUUUUUAAGUUGGAUCAUGUUAGGUUUUCCUAAUUUGGUAAUUCACUAAUUCCUAGUUGCCAAUUGCGGAGCCCUAUGCGGCUAUGCUACCACUAUCUCAGAUACAUAUGUAUAUGUAUAGUGAAUUCGGUAAACGACGAGUGGUGAAAAUUUAAUUAUAUAAAUAAAUAUGCUAAAGUUGUUAAUAUAAAAUAAAAUAAAGGUGAUCGUGAAAAUUUUAGAUAAAAAUAUAAUGCAUUAUAAUAUUAAAUAUAUAUCUUAAAAAUAUAUUUAUUUAAGUUAUUUAGUAAAUGAGUUAACACAUAUUCAAAAUAUAUGAUCUACAUUCAAGAGUUGUAUCCACCGACACAUAUUUUAAAAAACUAUUUUAAAGUACAUUUCUGGAGUGUUGAAAAAGUUAUUAUUUUGAGUGUGUAAAAUAAAGUUAUGGUUGUAAAUUAAAUUUGUAAAAUAUUUUAAGGAAUAUUCUUUUCUUUUUUUUGUGCAAACCUUUUUGAAGGAAUAUUCUAUUUAAUAUUUUCUAAGCUUUGUACUAUAAGUACUAAAAUUUGAUGAGGGAUUAGAACAAAGUUAAGUGAGUGAAAAAGAGUUUUAUAGACACUCACAAAUUCUUUCUCACUCACUUAGUUUGGUUCUAACACCUCACCAAACCUUGGUAUUUAUAGUACAAAGCUGAGGGAAUAUUACAUAAAAUAUUCCUUAAGAUAUUUUACAAAUUUAUGUUACAACCAUAACUUUAUUCUACUUACUCACAAUCGUAACUUUUUUUCAACAAAUUCCAAAAAUGUAAUUUUAAAAAUGUUUUAGUGAAUACAACUCUUGAAUGUAGACCAUAUAGUUUGAAUAUGUGUUAAAUAUUUGGAUAUAAAAAUUAGUAUCUCUUAUUUUUUAGCAUCCAAGAAUUUGUAACAAUACAAUCCACUUCUCUAAGUAUCGAGUUCAUUUUGAGUAAUACUGAUUGCGCUAAUACAUGGAGUGGAAAAAUGCUAAGCCCCAAUUGUUUGUUUGCAUUAUUCAACUAGAUGCGUAUCAAUUCGUCUUUCUUUGACUAUUUACGAUGGCAUUUAUGCCUUUGUUUCUUAUUUUAGAAUCCAUAAAAUAUAACACAUAAUUUUAAUUUGUGAAUAAAGAAUGGAAAAAGUAUCUUUCAAAGAAAGGAGCAGUGUGGCCAAAGUGAUUGGGACAAUAUUGUCACUAAUAGGCGCACUUGUGGUGGUUCUCUACCACGGUCCACGUGUCUUCAUUGCAUCAUCUCCGCCGUAUCUAAACUUCCGUCAGCUUCCUCCACCGUUAUCAUCUUCAAAUUCAGAUUGGCUCAUCGGCGGAGCUCUUCUAACCACAAGAGACAUCUUCGUUUCUGUAUCUUUCAUUCUCCAGGUAACAUUUUUUGUUCUUAUACAUAAUAGAUAUACUCCAAAACUUUAUGGUUAAGUGGAGAACCAUAACGACCAUAAACUUUUGUUGUAACCAUUUCGAGGGUUUAUAAGGAAUUGUGGGAUGAGUGAGAGCUCUAGUGACAACAAAUUAUCUUGAGAAAAAAAUGUAGUAAUGAGGAUAAAAUGAAAAUUAUACCGCAGUUUCAAAAUGAUGAAUGGUUAAAGUUUUCAAGAGCUCAAAUGAAAAAAUAUAGGGUUUGAAUGGUAACUCCAUACAGCUAUAGUAUAGGUUAUACCGUUUUGACAGUUACCAAUCACAAAAACGAUAUCAAAAGUGUUAUUAAAAGUUUUACUCUCAGCUUUUUUGUACAGCAUUUUUUUUUUUUUUUUGAUAAAUUUUAUCGGCUGAUCCGGUCAGCCCCGAUAGAAACGCACCGAAGUGCUUUUUUGUACAGUUUUCAUUUCCAACUGUUUUGUACAGUUUUACACUAUUCCGUAAAAACUUACGGAUCCAUAAUGUUUUGACGGGUGCGGAAAAAAAAAUAGAGAGAAAUAUAAAUAGAUUUACGUGGUUCAUCAACAAAAUGUUCGAUAUGUUCCAUGCAAAAGAGACUAAUUUUGUUAUCGGAGGCAGAAUUUUUAAAAUACAACAGAUUGGAUCCUCGAUCCUAGGCCAAAUAGAGAACCUAACCUGAAAACAACAACCCAUAAAGAAUUACCCCAUACUAGCAACACUCAUGUGCUAUCACAAAACAACGUACAAUCAAAUUCUAGGCUAAUCAAUAGAUGAUGGAGUUGGUCAUAGUCCAAUAACGAUUUGCUUACCUAUAGAAGAGAAUUCUCAAAGGGAAGUUCUAUUUCAUAAACAUUGGAGUUUAAAACUCGAUAUAGGCAUAUAGGUAGAGGCGGCCAUGAGGUCAAGCAAGACAAGCUUGAACAUGCAUCAAUUUUAUUUCAAUGUUUAUUCUAUAUAAUGAUUUUGGACAGGCGCAAAUAAUGAGUGAAUAUCCAGCGGCAUUCACAGUCUCCUUCCUCUACACUGUAUCAGUUUCAAUCGUGACUUCAGUGAUUGGACUAGUAGUGGAAAAGAACAAUCCAAGCGUUUGGAUCAUUCGAUUUGACAUUACUUUGAUUACAAUUGUUACUAUGGUACGAUAUUCGUAUUUAAAAAAAAUUACCAAUAUAUUUAUUUACUUUUGAUCUUAACAUAGUCUUUUAUAAAACAUUUCAGGCAAUAGUUACUUCAGUGUACUAUGUGAUUCAUUCAUGGACAGUAAGUCACAAAGGACCUCUAUACUUAGCGAUAUUUAAGCCAUUGUCGAUUUUAAUAGCAGUGGUUAUGAGCGCAGUUUUUCUCAACGAUUCUCUCUAUCUUGGAUGGUAUGUGAUCAAUAGUCUUCAUUAUAUUAUACACAUAUAUACAAACAAAAUAUUUUCGAUUUUUUGCUUUAUGUUGC